CUGAAACUCAUUUCCAUGUCUGGAAUUGGAUCAAUUCAGUCACUGAGAUUAAAGAAUUAUACACUUUAAAGAGCUAUCUGCUGAGUUGACACAUGCCCAUCACGCCCAUGAGGAAGAGAUGCCCACCACAUCCAUCACUCAAGUUUGUCUAUAAAAGCAAGUUGUGGAGAUUCAAGAGUUUUAUAUUUUCUUUUCAUUUCUCUACAGGUCACUAUGUGAUGGAUAUUCCUGGCCCAACUCCGGAAAGGCCUGUCAUUGUGUGGAGGGGAAAGGUGUAUUCAAGGCUACAGUUUAUUUCAGCAAGGAGCCUCAGGAAAUCUUAGCCGGAAAAGGUCAUCACGUCAUUACCUGCCAUCAGAUGUUGGUGCACUGAUAGGAAAGUUUAGGCACUGACUUGAUAAGCACUGAUAUGACUGGCAAACACUCUCCGGUAGAUAGCAGCAAACAAAUUUAUUCUGCGAAAUCACUUCGUUGAAAUAGUGCUGUAAAGGUUCUGACUCGAGUGACCCAACAUUUUUAAAAAUGGCAGUGUGCCGAGUAUAGGGUGAACCAUCAAAGAAGGUAAAUCGAAUCAGUGAAUGAAUGCAUUCAAGAAUCAGGAAUUCAGCCUAUAUUCUGAGAAGAGAAGGCCCGAGUGUAAUAUAUCCUCUGAUCGCAGGUCUAUGUGGAGAAUUGAUCAGUGCACUGGAGUGGUAGGGAUACACAUUACAAACAUGACUAUUAAUAAAAAAUAAUUAUCCUAAUAUUAUCA
RNAcentral lists this long non-coding RNA (751 nucleotides) under Vulpes vulpes (red fox). Its description in RNAcentral is "lncRNA (ENSVVUG00000002565.1)". The record is from RNAcentral. Lineage: Eukaryota; Metazoa; Chordata; Mammalia; Carnivora; Canidae.